This 1441-nucleotide long non-coding RNA is filed under the name Aotus nancymaae (Ma's night monkey). Its description in RNAcentral is "lncRNA (ENSANAG00000039032.1)". The record is from RNAcentral. Lineage: Eukaryota; Metazoa; Chordata; Mammalia; Primates; Aotidae.
UGGCAGGAGAGUGACCAGUGACAUAAGCCUCCCAUGCCAUGCUGAGGCGCUGAGGUGGAUGGAGAUGAACGGGGUGACGUGGCGUCCCUCUUGAAAUCUUGGGGGAUGCAGAGAGAGAAUCAGGCAGGGUGGGGGGCGCUCCGGAUCCUGACUCUGCCUCUGCCUCCCCAGGUCAUCCCCUUCUCCAUCCCCCGGACAGCGUACGCCAUCAAACACUUGUACACAGCGGGGCUGUUUGCUGAUGGAGGGGCCACUCUUCUAGAGAAACUUAUCCCCGAACUAGCCAGCAAUUUGAAGAGAUUCGUGGAGUGGGGUAAGUCUCCCUAGGACCAGCUCCUGCUCACAACGGUUGCCCAUGGGGUGGUGGGAAUUGAGGAGGGGCACGUGGCUACAGUUGGUGUCCACUUAGAGGAGAGCUAUUUAGAUUUUGAACUCUAAUUAGGUUUUGGGAUCAUGCCUGACAUUAGCGUUAGAUUGAGACUUUUGAUUGGCAUUGGCACUUGAUUUGGAGUUAAGAUCUGAAUUACGGCCUGGAGCGGUGGCUCAUGCCUGUACCAGCACUUUGGGAGGCCAAAGUGGGAGGAUUACUUGAGGCCAGGGGUUCAAGACCAGCUAGGACAACAUGAUGAAACCCUGUCUCUACUAAAAGUACAAAAAUGAGCCGGCCGUGGUGGCAUGUGCCUGUAUCCCAACUACUCAGGAGGCUGAGGCACGAGAAUCGCUUGAACUUAGGAGGUAGAGGUUGCAGUGAGCCAAGAUGAUGCCACUGCACUCCAGCCUGGGCGACAGAGAGACUCUGUCUCAAGGAAAAAAAAUAAAAGAUCUGAAUUACGGCUAGGUUGAGGUAAAGUGUGGGGCUGAAGUUGAGAUUAGGUUUUAUUUGGGGAUGGGCUUAAGACCGAGGCUGGGGUUGGAGUUGGUUUGAGUUGGAGUUGGUGUGAAGAUAGAUUUGGAGGUGGGUUGUGACUGAGGCUGGAGUUGGGUGGGGCUAGAGUUAGGGAUAGAAAUGAGGUUGGGAGAGGACUCUGGUAUGGGCUUGGGUUUGCUGUUGGGCUUGGCCUGGUGAGGGUUGGAUUUGAGAUGCUGGGCAGAGUUGGGUUGGCCUGGCCUGAGGGCUAACUGGGUGUCUCAGAUUAGGGUAAGGAGCCUGUGGCCUUUGAGGCAGGCCAUGAGUUCCUGUGCCUGGUAGAAUGAGGGGUAGAUUGACCAGAAGAUGUCUGUUCUUGGUGACCUUGAGCAGGCAAGAUGUCUUGGCCAGGGGACAAGACACAGGGUCACUCCCAGCCCAUCAGCUGAUUUGUAGCCUGCAUUGAGGCCUUGGGUGUCAUGUCCCCAUUUGUAUAAAAGGGGUCCCUCCCAUGCUGACCUUUGAACUUCUCAGAGUCUUUCUCAUUCUCCCAGGACACCAAAGAAACUGUGGGAGCAGCACACAGCAGUGGAG